Molecule: long non-coding RNA, 2061 nt
Organism: Panthera uncia (snow leopard)
Lineage: Eukaryota; Metazoa; Chordata; Mammalia; Carnivora; Felidae
Exons: 3
Source: RefSeq, a predicted model, not a curated record
CGGACAGCGUCCUCUGCCCACACUAGCCUGCUGCCCUCCCUCCUCCCCAGUUACUGGGAUGGGCAGAAGGCACCCGCUGGGCCCUCCAGCAGUUCAGCGGAACACUAGUUCCGCCUGGCCACAGGGCCUGUGACAACCUGGACCCCCACGGUUCUGCUACCUGAGCGCCUCCUUCAGGCCCCUCCCCGCUGGUGUGUUCCUGGGUCCCUGUGCGCUUUCUGUUUCGCUCGGAGGCACCCUGGCUGUGAAGCUCAUGUGACGCUCAGCUCUGUCACCGGUUUCCACAUACCAAAACCAAACGAUUUCACCACCACGUGCUCUGGGAGUUUUAGGAUGGACGCGGAUAAAGCAUUUUUAAAAGACAACCUGAAACGUCACACUGACUGCAACACGGGAUGUGUUCAGAUUAGAAGACCCUCUCUCCACUACCGAUGCAUCACCAGGUGGGUGCAUAUUCAGCUGUUAACUGCAUGUUCCUAGGGGGUGAAGCCUUUGCUCCAGGACAAGGUUAAGGGCAGACAUAGCCAGAAGGUACCUCCACGCAAGGCCAGAGCCAAUAUGAAAUAUGAAAUGACAGAAAGUAGUUUAGGGAUUCUAGAGCCUGAAAAGAACUGAAGGAAGAGAAACUGAGGUUUAGAGACGUUAAAUCACCUUCCAAGGUGACACAGCUGGUUGGAAGCAUCCGACAAGGCCAAAUUCUCAUUCAGAGCUCUUUCAUGAUUCCAGAAGGCAAUAGGGAAUCGGAUCAUUAUAUAGGCCUUAAAGUUAAUGAACUAAAAAAGGUCUUGAGAAGAUUGAAGAAGAAAAAAGAAAAAAAAAAAAGGCACCAGGGACUAGAAGUGGAAGAUGGCUCAGAUCGAUAAAGUUGCAUCGAACUUGGUUGACCCUUCGCAUGAGGAGGUUCAGGGAGCAGAUCCAUCCCAAGUGGACUCCUCUCCUCCUACAGCCUUUCUCGAGAUCCCUACCUGGAAGUGACCCCUCCCUUUCCAAGCCCCAGAUCAUUCAUAUACUGCGUGGAGUUAGGAUGACGUUUCUCCUGUCUUUUCACGUGGUCCCUGCUCACAGGCAGUGAAUGCCCUGGAGGGCCAAAGACCAGAGAUGAAACUCAACACAAGCUGCUUGAAGGCGACGGUAGGAGGAAGAAGAAAGCAGGAAAUCAUUGCAAGCAGGGUGGGCAUGGACGAUGGGGGACAAGGCACUCACAGACUGCAUCACCAUGGGGUUCUUUUCAAGGACGGACUGGGGCUUUCUGGCCUUGGCUGAGGACCACCCAACAGUCUGAGCUCUCCUCCCGGACAUGGCAGCCAUGGGGCAACCUCAUGGACUAUUCAGGAAAGUGAGAAAGAUGGAGUCUAUGGGGGAUGCGAGGUCAGGCAGUCAGGAUACAGUUCCGAGGGUGUUAAAAUCCACACCCAGUGAUCCUGGCCCUCUGGCUGUGUCCAGGGCACGAGAGCAAGCGUGUCAAUAUUUGUCCUGAAGCUAGUGUUGUAGAGUUGGAUGAGACCUCGGACACCAACUGACCCUUGGCCCCCACAUGUCAGGAGGGCAACUCGUCCUCAGAGGAGACAGCUUGCUCUGGUCACCAAGUGGGAAGGUGGCAGAGCCUUGAACAACUGGACAUUGGACCACCCUGCCCAGAGCACUUCUUUCUUCCCUGCUGCUGCCUCUGGAGGGGACUUCAGAGACAGAAGGCACUUGGUGCUCAUUUCUGAGCCCCCUGUCCAGGGCCCUAGACCCACAGAUUGACCCUCUGGGCCCACAGGCCUGGAUUCCUUGAUAGGAAAGCUCUCAAGGGCUGAAUAAGAAUCGCGCAGUCGGCCAGCUACUCUGACAUAGCACCUCUUCCGGAACACAAUUGCGAGCCUAAGACGCAAAAAGCCCUUAGUACAGUGCCUGGUUCACAGUAGGCAGUUUUUACUGUAAAUUGUGAUUUCUUUGGAGGAGAAGCCCACAGAACAAAGCAAAAAAUAAGUGGAUGUGAAGAGGAAGGUGUGGGCCCAGGUCCUACAAACUCCCAAACCUGUACCUUGCAAAAAAGUGUGAUUUGGAGUACGGGGCAAG